UUUUGUGCAUUUGAUCACGUCAGAACAAGAUUGGAAGAGGAUUUGGGCAAGUUUACAAGCUUCAAUGUGGAGAAACCAGAACUUGUUGUUACACUGUGUUAGUAGAGCGCGUAAAAGAGCUGCCAACGUUGGAAAUGACUAUCACCGCAACUUACUCUCUAGCAUUUGCUAGAAAGUCCUUCAACUGCUGGGCAGAAUUAUGAAAGCAUUCACAAUAAGCUAAAUCUUGCUUAUGAAGAACGAUAAAUACAAUAUAAGAGUAUAAUAUAGUUCUGGAAACGAUUGACAUUUGUUUUAUUUUAUUACAAACAAAGGUGUUAAGUACAUUUUCUUCUGCUAAAUUUUAUGCUCUUUAGGCUGAA
This is a long non-coding RNA of Lycium ferocissimum, 362 nucleotides long. RefSeq lists it as uncharacterized. The transcript is spliced from 2 exons. The record is from RefSeq and is a predicted model, not a curated record. NCBI's taxonomy places the organism in Eukaryota, Viridiplantae, Streptophyta, Magnoliopsida, Solanales, Solanaceae.